This 494-nucleotide ribosomal RNA is filed under the name Diuraphis noxia (Russian wheat aphid). RNAcentral describes it as "partial small subunit ribosomal RNA". Lineage: Eukaryota; Metazoa; Arthropoda; Insecta; Hemiptera; Aphididae. The record is from RNAcentral.
GUUGCGGUUAAACAUAAUAUACAAAUAAAAUAGUUUGGUUAUUAGUAUUUAAAUAUUAUUUAUAAUUUAAUUUUUUUUAAUAAAGUAAAAUUUAAUUAAGAUUUAUGAUUAUAAUUAUUUUAUUCUAUUAAAUUUUAUUUAAAACUAGGAUUAGAUACCCUAUUAUAAAAAUUUAAAUUAAUUUACUAAAAAAUUAAUAGUUAUGUUCUUUAAAUUUAAAAAAUUUGGCGGUAUUUUAGUCUUAUUAGAGGAACCUGUUUUUUAAUUGAUAAUCCACGAUUAAUUUUACUUAUUUUAAUUAAUUCAUAUAUCGCUGUCAUGAAUAUAUUAAAAAAUUUAUUUUCUUUAUUUAUUAUUAUAGUUUAUGUUAAGUCAAGAUGUGGUUUAUAAAUAAGUUAAUAAUGGGUUACAUUAAAUUUUAUUUUUGGAUUUAAAAUGAAAAUUAUAAUGAAAUUGGAUUUAAUAGUAAAUUUAUUUAUUUAAUUAAUAUGAAU